GUUUGAAGAAGUGGUCUAUGCUUGGAGUGCUGUUGUUAGGAAUUGAACAUCCCAUGAGACAGACAAUUAGAAGGAAUUGAUUUCAAUAUUCUUUAAGGUAAUAAUGAGAACUAGUGUUCUGAAGUGCUCUGAAAAAGACCCAUAUAUUUUGUAGACCAAAUGAUCAGAUAGAGAGAGUGUACUUCACUGGGAAAUCUUCAUUCUGGAUGAAUCUAUCUCUGCAAAACAGGGUCCACUGGAGAUGUUGGUACAGGCCUCUGGGCACACACUGCUGCUGCUGCUGCUGCGCCACUUCAGUCGUGUCCGACUCUGUGUGACCCUAUAGACGGCAGCUCAACAGGCUCCUCCGUCUCUGGGAU
RNAcentral lists this long non-coding RNA (359 nucleotides) under Capra hircus (goat). Its description in RNAcentral is "lncRNA (ENSCHIG00000002676.1)". Lineage: Eukaryota; Metazoa; Chordata; Mammalia; Artiodactyla; Bovidae. The record is from RNAcentral.